This 361-nucleotide ribosomal RNA is filed under the name uncultured bacterium. RNAcentral describes it as "bacterial SSU rRNA". It matches the Rfam family "Bacterial small subunit ribosomal RNA", at positions 29 to 404 of the family's 1533-position model. The record is from RNAcentral.
AAUGAACGUUGGCGGCGUGGAUUAGGCAUGCAAGUCGCGCGACAAGGAACCUUCGGGUUCUGGAGGAGCGGCAAACGGGGUAGUAAGGCAUCGGAACGUACCCUCUUGUUGGGAAUAGCCGCGGGAAACUGCGAGUAAUGCCCAAUAAUCCCUACGGGGCAAAGGUCCGCCGCAGGAGGAGCGGCCGAUGUGAUACCAGCUAGUUGGUGAGGUAAUGGCUCACCAAGGCUUAGACGUCUAGGGGGUGUGAGAGCAUGGCCCCCACCACUGGGACGUGAGAUACUGCCCAGACACCUACGGGUGGCUGCAGUCGAGAAUCUUCGGCAAUGGGCGGCAAGCCUGACCGAGCAACGCCGCGUGC